GGGUGCUGGCCACGCAGGAGGCUUAACCUGGCCGGCGCGGGAAUGGGGUGCAGAGAGCAAAGAAAUGUGGCUUUGAUCUUAUGGAUGCCUUACUUUUACAUUAUUUGUACAGUUCUUGCAGUGAGCUUUCCGGACCACUGUCUUGUAUGUUUCCUAAGAAAAGCAAAAAGGGAAGAGAUUGAAGAGAAAGUAGAUUUUCAACUACAAACUUUCAUCCAUUUGCUUUCAGCUUAAGCAAAUGUGCGCAAAGUUGUCAUGGAUUUUUGCAGUCAAUAAAAACCAAGCAAGAAGACUGAAUCCCAAGUCAUCUGGGGCAGAUAAGAAAAGAAACAAUUUGCUGAAACUCCCUCUGCUUAUAACAAAACUGACUGAAAUCAGCCGGAAUCAAUAUGGCCAAAUGCAGUUUGCGCACAGCAAGCUUGCUGAUGUCACAGCCUGAAUUUCUACUGCAUGUUUCAUACCAACUCCCUCCAAAUUUGCACAUGGGACCCACCAGGAAGCAUGAAGAGAGAGCCAUGCAUGCCUGAAGACUUCCCAGAUGUUCCCUUUGCUUCCACCAAUCACCUGCUAACCCCAGGAUCCAACCCUAAACCUUUUGUAAUAAAAUUACUGCCCUAAAGCCAGUACAAGACAGAUUUGAACUGGACUUUUGUUUCCUCAGAAGUUAACUUGCAAUGUGAAGCUUUCCUUUUCUCAAAAACUUGGUGUCAUAGUGUUGGCUUCUAGUGCAGUGAGCCCCUUUUGCUG
RNAcentral lists this long non-coding RNA (747 nucleotides) under Homo sapiens (human). RNAcentral describes it as "non-protein coding TEX26-AS1:8". Lineage: Eukaryota; Metazoa; Chordata; Mammalia; Primates; Hominidae. The record is from RNAcentral.